UACGGAGGAUGCGAGCGUUAUCCGGAUUUAUUGGGUUUAAAGGGUGCGUAGGCGGAUUUUUAAGUCAGCGGUAAAAUGUCCGGGCUCAACCCGGGCCGGCCGUUGAAACUGGGGAUCUUGAGUGGCGAGAAGUAUGCGGAAUGCGUGGUGUAGCGGUGAAAUGCAUAGAUAUCACGCAGAACUCCGAUUGCGAAGGCAGCAUACCGGCGCCCGACUGACGCUGAGGCACGAAAGCGUGGGGAUCGAACAGG
RNAcentral lists this ribosomal RNA (251 nucleotides) under uncultured bacterium. RNAcentral describes it as "partial 16S ribosomal RNA". It matches the Rfam family "Bacterial small subunit ribosomal RNA", at positions 524 to 776 of the family's 1533-position model. The record is from RNAcentral.